GUAGGGCGCAAGCGUUGUCCGGAAUUAUUGGGCGUAAAGAGCUCGUAGGCGGCUUGUCACGUCGGGUGUGAAAGCCCGGGGCUUAACCCCGGGUCUGCAUUCGAUACGGGCUAGCUAGAGUGUGGUAGGGGAGAUCGGAAUUCCUGGUGUAGCGGUGAAAUGCGCAGAUAUCAGGAGGAACACCGGUGGCGAAGGCGGAUCUCUGGGCCAUUACUGACGCUGAGGAGCGAAAGCGUGGGGAGCGAACAGGAUUAGAUACCCUGGUAGUCCACGCCGUAAACGGUGGGAACUAGGUGUUGGCGACAUUCCACGUCGUCGGUGCCGCAGCUAACGCAUUAAGUUCCCCGCCUGGGGAGUACGGCCGCAAGGCUA
This 372-nucleotide ribosomal RNA is filed under the name uncultured bacterium. Its description in RNAcentral is "bacterial SSU rRNA". It matches the Rfam family "Bacterial small subunit ribosomal RNA", at positions 527 to 896 of the family's 1533-position model. RNAcentral also lists the same sequence under 1 other name. The record is from RNAcentral.